UGGUGGAGUGAUUUGUCUGGUUAAUUCCGAUAACGAACGAGACCUUAAUCUGCUAAAUAGACCGUGUAACUUUGGUUGCACGUGUCUUCUUAGAGAGACUACGAAUGUUAUAAUUCGUGGAAGUUUGAGGCAAUAACA
RNAcentral lists this ribosomal RNA (138 nucleotides) under uncultured eukaryote. RNAcentral's name for it is "partial 18S ribosomal RNA". It matches the Rfam family "Eukaryotic small subunit ribosomal RNA", at positions 1299 to 1458 of the family's 1831-position model. The record is from RNAcentral.